AGUGAACGUUGGCGGCGUGGAUUAGGCAUGCAAGUCGAGCGAGAACCGUAGCAAUACGGGGACAGCGGCGAAAGGGACAGUAAUGUGUAGGUACCUACCCCGAGGUCUGGGAUAGCUGCGGGAAACUGCGGGUAAUACCGGAUAAUGUCUUCGGACCAAAGGUGUGAUUCCACCUUGGGAGGGGCCUGCAUCCUAUUAGCUAGUUGGCGGGGUAAUGGCCCACCAAGGCAACGAUGGGUAGCGGGUGUGAGAGCACGACCCGCGUCAUUGGGACUGAGACACUGCCCAGACAUCUACGGGUGGCUGCAGUCGAGGAUCUUCGGCAAUGGGCGCAAGCCUGACCGAGCGACGCCGCGUGCGGGAUGAAGGCCUUCGGGUUGUAAACCGCUGUCGUAGAGGAGGAAAUGCAGGGGGGUUCUCCCUUCUGUUUGACCUAUUCUAGGAGGAAGGACGGGCUAAGUUCGUGCCAGCCGCCGCCGUAA
RNAcentral lists this ribosomal RNA (482 nucleotides) under uncultured bacterium. RNAcentral's name for it is "partial 16S ribosomal RNA". It matches the Rfam family "Bacterial small subunit ribosomal RNA", at positions 28 to 523 of the family's 1533-position model. The record is from RNAcentral.